Molecule: ribosomal RNA, 2903 nt
Filed under: Enterobacter hormaechei
Lineage: Bacteria; Pseudomonadati; Pseudomonadota; Gammaproteobacteria; Enterobacterales; Enterobacteriaceae
Description: 23S ribosomal RNA
Rfam family: Bacterial large subunit ribosomal RNA
Source: RNAcentral
GGUUAAGCGACUAAGCGUACACGGUGGAUGCCCUGGCAGUCAGAGGCGAUGAAGGACGUGCUAAUCUGCGAAAAGCGCCGGCGAGGUGAUAUGAACCUUUGACCCGGCGAUGUCCGAAUGGGGAAACCCAGUGCAAUCCGUUGCACUAUCGUUAACUGAAUACAUAGGUUAACGAGGCGAACCGGGGGAACUGAAACAUCUAAGUACCCCGAGGAAAAGAAAUCAACCGAGAUUCCCCCAGUAGCGGCGAGCGAACGGGGAGCAGCCCGGAGUCUGAAUCAGCUUGUGUGUUAGUGGAACGGUCUGGAAAGUCCGACGGUACAGGGUGAUAGUCCCGUACACGAAAGCACACAUGCUGUGAACUCGAAGAGUAGGGCGGGACACGUGGUAUCCUGUCUGAAUAUGGGGGGACCAUCCUCCAAGGCUAAAUACUCCUGACUGACCGAUAGUGAACCAGUACCGUGAGGGAAAGGCGAAAAGAACCCCGGCGAGGGGAGUGAAAAAGAACCUGAAACCGUGUACGUACAAGCAGUGGGAGCCUCUUUAUGGGGUGACUGCGUACCUUUUGUAUAAUGGGUCAGCGACUUAUAUUCUGUAGCAAGGUUAACCGUAUAGGGGAGCCGAAGGGAAACCGAGUCUUAACUGGGCGUUAAGUUGCAGGGUAUAGACCCGAAACCCGGUGAUCUAGCCAUGGGCAGGUUGAAGGUUGGGUAACACUAACUGGAGGACCGAACCGACUAAUGUUGAAAAAUUAGCGGAUGACCUGUGGCUGGGGGUGAAAGGCCAAUCAAACCGGGAGAUAGCUGGUUCUCCCCGAAAGCUAUUUAGGUAGCGCCUCGUGAACUCAUCUUCGGGGGUAGAGCACUGUUUCGGCUAGGGGGCCAUCCCGGCUUACCAACCCGAUGCAAACUACGAAUACCGAAGAAUGUUAUCACGGGAGACACACGGCGGGUGCUAACGUCCGUCGUGAAGAGGGAAACAACCCAGACCGCCAGCUAAGGUCCCAAAGUCAUGGUUAAGUGGGAAACGAUGUGGGAAGGCACAGACAGCCAGGAUGUUGGCUUAGAAGCAGCCAUCAUUUAAAGAAAGCGUAAUAGCUCACUGGUCGAGUCGGCCUGCGCGGAAGAUGUAACGGGGCUAAACCAUGCACCGAAGCUGCGGCAGCGACACUAUGUGUUGUUGGGUAGGGGAGCGUUCUGUAAGCCGUUGAAGGUGUGCUGUGAGGCAUGCUGGAGGUAUCAGAAGUGCGAAUGCUGACAUAAGUAACGAUAAAGCGGGUGAAAAGCCCGCUCGCCGGAAGACCAAGGGUUCCUGUCCAACGUUAAUCGGGGCAGGGUGAGUCGACCCCUAAGGCGAGGCCGAAAGGCGUAGUCGAUGGGAAACAGGUUAAUAUUCCUGUACUUGGUGUUACUGCGAAGGGGGACGGAGAAGGCUAUGUCAGCCGGGCGACGGUUGUCCCGGUUUAAGCAUGUAGGCGGAGGUUCCAGGUAAAUCCGGUACCUUGUUAACGCUGAGGUGUGAUGACGAGGCACUACGGUGCUGAAGUGAUAAAUGCCCUGCUUCCAGGAAAAGCCUCUAAGCAUCAGGUAACACGAAAUCGUACCCCAAACCGACACAGGUGGUCAGGUAGAGAAUACCAAGGCGCUUGAGAGAACUCGGGUGAAGGAACUAGGCAAAAUGGUGCCGUAACUUCGGGAGAAGGCACGCUGAUAGGUAGGUGAAGCCCCUGCGGGCGGAGCUGAAAUCAGUCGAAGAUACCAGCUGGCUGCAACUGUUUAUUAAAAACACAGCACUGUGCAAACACGAAAGUGGACGUAUACGGUGUGACGCCUGCCCGGUGCCGGAAGGUUAAUUGAUGGGGUUAGCGGCAACGCGAAGCUCUUGAUCGAAGCCCCGGUAAACGGCGGCCGUAACUAUAACGGUCCUAAGGUAGCGAAAUUCCUUGUCGGGUAAGUUCCGACCUGCACGAAUGGCGUAAUGAUGGCCAGGCUGUCUCCACCCGAGACUCAGUGAAAUUGAACUCGCUGUGAAGAUGCAGUGUACCCGCGGCAAGACGGAAAGACCCCGUGAACCUUUACUAUAGCUUGACACUGAACACUGGUCCUUGAUGUGUAGGAUAGGUGGGAGGCUUUGAAGCGUGGACGCCAGUCUGCGUGGAGCCAACCUUGAAAUACCACCCUUUAAUGGCUGGUGUUCUAACGUAGACCCGUAAUCCGGGUUGCGGACAGUGUCUGGUGGGUAGUUUGACUGGGGCGGUCUCCUCCCAAAGAGUAACGGAGGAGCACGAAGGUUGGCUAAUCCUGGUCGGACAUCAGGAGGUUAGUGCAAUGGCAUAAGCCAGCUUGACUGCGAGCGUGACGGCGCGAGCAGGUGCGAAAGCAGGUCAUAGUGAUCCGGUGGUUCUGAAUGGAAGGGCCAUCGCUCAACGGAUAAAAGGUACUCCGGGGAUAACAGGCUGAUACCGCCCAAGAGUUCAUAUCGACGGCGGUGUUUGGCACCUCGAUGUCGGCUCAUCACAUCCUGGGGCUGAAGUAGGUCCCAAGGGUAUGGCUGUUCGCCAUUUAAAGUGGUACGCGAGCUGGGUUUAGAACGUCGUGAGACAGUUCGGUCCCUAUCUGCCGUGGGCGCUGGAGAAUUGAGGGGGCUGCUCCUAGUACGAGAGGACCGGAGUGGACGCAUCACUGGUGUUCGGGUUGUCAUGCCAAUGGCACUGCCCGGUAGCUAAAUGCGGAAGAGAUAAGUGCUGAAAGCAUCUAAGCACGAAACUUGCCCCGAGAUGAGUUCUCCCUGAGACUUUAAGUCUCCUGAAGGAACGUUGAAGACGACGACGUUGAUAGGUCGGGUGUGUAAGCGCAGCGAUGCGUUGAGCUAACCGAUACUAAUGAACCGUGAGGCUUAACCUU